RNAcentral lists this ribosomal RNA (425 nucleotides) under uncultured bacterium. RNAcentral describes it as "bacterial SSU rRNA". It matches the Rfam family "Bacterial small subunit ribosomal RNA", at positions 356 to 773 of the family's 1533-position model. The record is from RNAcentral.
GGGGAAUAUUGGACAAUGGGCGCAAGCCUGAUCCAGCCAUACCGCGUGGGUGAAGAAGGCCUUCGGGUUGUAAAGCCCUUUUGUUGGGAAAGAAAUCCUGUCGAUUAAUACUCGGUGGGGAUGACGGUACCCAAAGAAUAAGCGCCGGCUAACUUCGUGCCAGCAGCCGCGGUAAUACGAAGGGUGCAAGCGUUACUCAGAAUUACUGGGCGUAAAGCGUGCGUAGGUGGUGGUUUAAGUCUGCUGUGAAAGCCCUGGGCUCAACCUGGGAAUUGCAGUGGAUACUGGAUCACUAGAGUGUGGUAGAGGGAUGCGGAAUUUCUGGUGUAGCAGUGAAAUGCGUAGAGAUCAGAAGGAACAUCCGUGGCGAAGGCGGCAUCCUGGGCCAACACUGACACUGAGGCACGAAAGCGAGGGGAGCAAAC